Clostridiales bacterium is the source of this 95-nucleotide non-coding RNA. The record is from Rfam. Lineage: Bacteria; Bacillati; Bacillota; Clostridia; Eubacteriales.
GCAUCUUUUAAACUGGUCCCGUGAGGCUAGUAAGGGUGGUCGUAGCUGUGUUUGCUAUGCAACCUCUUUGUCCCGGGACAAAGAGGUUUUUUUAU